GACCGCCUGGGGAGUACGGCCGCAAGGUUAAAACUCAAAUGAAUUGACGGGGGCCCGCACAAGCGGUGGAGCAUGUGGUUUAAUUCGAUGCAACGCGAAGAACCUUACCUACUCUUGACAUCCAGAGAACUUAGCAGAGAUGCUUUGGUGCCUUCGGGAACUCUGAGACAGGUGCUGCAUGGCUGUCGUCAGCUCGUGUUGUGAAAUGUUGGGUUAAGUCCCGCAACGAGCGCAACCCUUAUCCUUUGUUGCCAGCGGUUCGGCCGGGAACUCAAAGGAGACUGCCAGUGAUAAACUGGAGGAAGGUGGGGAUGACGUCAAGUCAUCAUGGCCCUUACGAGUAGGGCUACACACGUGCUACAAUGGCAUAUACAAAGAGAAGCGACCUCGCGAGAGCAAGCGGACCUCAUAAAGUAUGUCGUAGUCCGGAUUGGAGUCUGCAACUCGACUCCAUGAAGUCGGAAUCGCUAGUAAUCGUGGAUCAGAAUGCCACGGUGAAUACGUUCCCGGGCCUUGUACACACCGCCCGUCACACCAUGGGAGUGGGUUGCAAAAGAAGUAGGUAGCUUAACCUUCGGGAGGGCGCUUACCACUUUGUGAUUCAUGACUGGGGUGAAGUCGUAACAAGGUAACCGUAGGGGAACCUGCGGUUGGAUCACCUCCUUA
This 666-nucleotide ribosomal RNA is filed under the name Citrobacter freundii. Its description in RNAcentral is "bacterial SSU rRNA". It matches the Rfam family "Bacterial small subunit ribosomal RNA", at positions 867 to 1533 of the family's 1533-position model. Lineage: Bacteria; Pseudomonadati; Pseudomonadota; Gammaproteobacteria; Enterobacterales; Enterobacteriaceae. The record is from RNAcentral.